This 1282-nucleotide ribosomal RNA is filed under the name uncultured bacterium. Its description in RNAcentral is "bacterial SSU rRNA". It matches the Rfam family "Bacterial small subunit ribosomal RNA", at positions 104 to 1367 of the family's 1533-position model. The record is from RNAcentral.
GGGUGAGUAACGCGUGGGUAAUCUACCUCUAAGCCUGGAAUAACACGCCGAAAGGCGUGCUAAUACCGGAUAAGACCACGGAGCGCAUGCUCUGGGGUUAAAGGCGGGCCGCAAGGUCUGUCACUUGGGGAUGAGCCCGCGUCCCAUCAGCUAGUUGGCGAGGUAACGGCUCACCAAGGCUAAGACGGGUAGCUGGUCUGAGAGGACGAUCACACACACUGGAACUGAGACACGGUCCAGACUCCUACGGGAGGCAGCAGUAGGGAAUAUUGCACAAUGGGGGAAACCCUGAUGCAGCAACGCCGCGUGAGUGAAGAAGGCCCUUGGGUUGUAAAGCUCUUUAGCGAGGGAAGAAGGUAGAUAUGGUGAAUAAUCAUGUUUGCUGACGGUACCUCGGGAAUUAAGCCCCCGGCUAAUUUCGUGCCAGCAGCCGCGGUAAUACGAAAGGUGCAAGCGUUACUCGGAAUCACUGGGCGUAAAGCGCGCGUAGGCGGACUCGUAGGUCAAUUGUGAAAUACCUGGGCUCAACCCGGGAACUGCAGUUGAAACCGCUUGUCUUGAAUACCUGAGAGGGUGGGGGAAUACCUGGUGGAGAAGUGAAAUUCGUAGAGAUCAGGUGGAACACCGGAGGCGAAGGCGCCUGCCUGGCAGUGUAUUGACGCUGAGGUGCGAAAGUGCGGGGAGCAAACAGGAUUAGAUACCCUGGUAGUCCGCACCGUAAACGAUGGAUACUAGGCGUUCGGAGAGUUUACCCUCUGAGUGCCAAAGUUCACACAUUAAGUAUCCCGCCUGGGAAGUACGGUCGCAAGACUAAAACUCAAAGGAAUUGACGGGGGCCCGCACAAGCGGUGGAGUAUGUGGUUUAAUUCGAAGCAACGCGCAGAACCUUACCUGGCCUUGACAUCGCGAGACCGGUGCAGAGAUGUACCUUUCCCUUCGGGGACUCGUAGACAGGUGCUGCAUGGCUGUCGUCAGCUCGUGUUGUGAAAUGUUCGGUUAAGUCCGGCAACGAGCGCAACCCCUGUCCUUAGUUACCAGCAUUAAGUUGGGGACUCUAGGGAGACCGCCGGUGUUAAACCGGAGGAAGGCGGGGAUGACGUCAAGUCCUCAUGGCCCUUACGGCCAGGGCUACACACGUACUACAAUGGUAGAAACAGACGGCUGCAAGACCGCAAGGUGGAGCUAAUCCGUAAAACACUAUCUCAGUCCGGAUUGAAGUCUGCAACUCGACUUCAUGAAGUUGGAAUCGCUAGUAAUCGCAGAUCAGCACGCUGCGGUGAAU